UACGGGGGGGGCAAGCGUUGUUCGGAAUUACUGGGCGUAAAGGGCUCGUAGGCGGCCAACUAAGUCGGACGUGAAAUCCCCGGGCUUAACCUGGGAACUGCGUUUCUAACUGGCAAGCUUGAGUGUGGCAGAGGGGGGUGGAAUUCCACGUGUAGCAGUGAAAUGCGUAGAGAUGUGGAGGAACACCGAUGGCGAAGGCAGCCCCCUGGGCUAACACUGACGCUCAUGCACGAAAGCGUGGGGAGCAAACAGG
This 253-nucleotide ribosomal RNA is filed under the name uncultured bacterium. RNAcentral describes it as "partial 16S ribosomal RNA". It matches the Rfam family "Bacterial small subunit ribosomal RNA", at positions 524 to 776 of the family's 1533-position model. The record is from RNAcentral.